UACAGAGGUGGCAAGCGUUGUUCGGAAUUACUGGGCGUAAAGGGCGCGUAGGCGGUCUUGUAAGUCUUGUGUGAAAUCCCUCGGCUUAACUGAGGAACUGCACGGGAUACUGCGAGACUUGAGAUCGGGAGAGGGAAGCGGAAUUCCGGGUGUAGCGGUGAAAUGCGUAGAUAUCGAGAGGAACACCUGCGGCGAAGGCGGGUUGCUGGGCUGACACUGACGCUGAGGCGCGAAAGCUAGGGGAGCGAACGGG
This 253-nucleotide ribosomal RNA is filed under the name uncultured bacterium. Its description in RNAcentral is "partial 16S ribosomal RNA". It matches the Rfam family "Bacterial small subunit ribosomal RNA", at positions 524 to 776 of the family's 1533-position model. The record is from RNAcentral.